RNAcentral lists this long non-coding RNA (1195 nucleotides) under Vigna radiata. Its description in RNAcentral is "long non-coding RNA (VRAD_LNC010962)". Lineage: Eukaryota; Viridiplantae; Streptophyta; Magnoliopsida; Fabales; Fabaceae. The record is from RNAcentral.
UUAAACACAUGUCACUGAUUGGUCCAUGUAGAAGAGAUUUUAAAAAUUGAAAAUGACAUGAAAAUGGAAGUAAGUGAUUUUGAUUGCACGGGUUUCAAUUUGCGAUUUCAAUAAUUAGAAAUAUCAUUCUCGCUAGAGAACCCUAGAGAGAGCAUAUUCCUAGCCACAAGUGUCGUUUGAGGAGAAUCGGCCAUUGGCCAACUUUUCACCGUUCAUUGGAUUCUUGCGGUUAACCGGAGCCUUAUCCGUCGCCGUCUGCCGUUCUGAAGCACCAACAAAGGGCGAAACCACCAUUGGAUGUGGUUUUUAAAGCUUCUCGUUGUUUCUUUCGGUAAUCCUUUGAUUUUGCUUAAUGGGUUUGAGUUGUUUUAAUUUUUUUUUUCUAUUUAGGGGUUGUUGUGUUUAUUGUGGUAACUGUGGUUUGAACUUUUGUUGAUCAUUUUGGGGUUGUUGUGCUUUUUGGGUGCAAAGUUUCAACAUUUUAGAUUUGUGGUUGUUGUUGGGUUAUUUUAAUCUUUUGUACAAUGUUUCAUUUGACAGAUAUAGAUUUCAUUAACAACAAGGUCAACAUGUGCUAUAUUGAAAAUUUAUUAGUUUGUUUUGAUAUCAUGAUCUAGCUUUUAGGUAGCUUUGUUUGUUCACUUGGCUUAUUAUUUAUUUUUUUCUCUUAACUCUACCAAUAAAUCAAGUUUGAAACUCAAGUCCUAUCGAAUUUAUCAAUGUUUUGAUUUUACGUUAUCCCUCAUACUUAGACUACUGCAAUCACUUUUUUGAGGUGGGAGUUUUAUAUGCAAAUAUGAAUAUCCAACCUUCAAAAAUAGAUGUAAUUUGAUUAACUCGGGUGUGAUUAUUGUUUCAGGUUUUUCUUUGGUACUGUUUCUGAUUAUCAAGAAGUGAGUUGAAUUGGUUUUCUCAUUCUUUUUUAUUGUCACAAAAGCUUUGUGUUUUUACAUUUUCUUUUUAUAUUUCAGACUCCAAAUUGGAAGAUUGAAUUUCUGGGCUGAUAUUUUGUUGAGCAAAGUUUGUUGGAUGAUGAUUGUAUAAGAUUCUUACUCUCUGUUGUAGCAGCUUCUGCUUUAUUUCUAGCUAGAUUUUUUAUUGAUCCUAAAGUGCAUCCUUGGGUAAGUAUAUGUAAUGGAUGGUGAAAGAAUUUUAAUUUAAAAAGAAUAAUCUAAAUGCUCUUCAAGUACUCAAU